AUUGGUCCACAACAACAACAACUGAGGUUGACCAAAGGUGAAGGUGGCAAAGUAAAUAUUGAAAAUGUCAUUUUUGACCAAGAGAAGGCUAGGAAAGAUCUUGCAUUGAUGAUAUGUGAACAUGAGUAUCCUCUAUCUAUUGUGGAUCAUAGUGGUUUUCAUAGAUUUUGUUCUUCUUUGCAGCCGAUGUUUAAGAUGGUGUGCAGAAAUACUAUUAGGAAUGAUAUUGUGGCUAUGCAUUCUGCUCAAAAGGAGAAGAUGGUGAUUUUUUUUGCAACAUUCAAGCACCGAGUGGCUGUCACUAAAGAUUUGUGGACAGUGGGCUAUCAAAAGAGAGGUUACAUG
RNAcentral lists this ribosomal RNA (345 nucleotides) under Triticum aestivum (bread wheat). RNAcentral describes it as "partial small subunit ribosomal RNA". The record is from RNAcentral. Lineage: Eukaryota; Viridiplantae; Streptophyta; Magnoliopsida; Poales; Poaceae.